GGGGACGUAAAGGUUUCGACGGGAGCGUAGAAGUCCGAUAAGCGAGCCGUGUCGUCGGAGCACGUAAAAGCCGACCGUUAAAUACAAACGCUAAAAAUACAAACAAACUCGCAAUCGCCGCUUAGUUCGGCGCGCGUGUCAGCCCUGACUCACCUGCAGGUCAGGGGUCUGGCAUCGACUAUGCAGGAAACUCAGGCCGGGAGCCCGGACGCGUCUGAGGAAUAAUUCGGGAUAACUGCGGCAGCAGCCCGCCGACGGACAACUGCCGGGGCGAAAAGACAAACGCCGGAUGCGCUCGGAGAAAUUCGAAUGGAAAUACUUUCGGACGUGAGUUCGACUCUCACCGUCUCCACCA
Molecule: transfer-messenger RNA, 355 nt
Filed under: Anaerovoracaceae
Lineage: Bacteria; Bacillati; Bacillota; Clostridia; Peptostreptococcales
Also listed under: 1 other name
Description: Eubacterium_B sp002472145 Standard tmRNA
Rfam family: transfer-messenger RNA
About the family: Bacterial tmRNA, also known as 10Sa RNA or SsrA, is named for its dual tRNA and mRNA-like properties. Its role is to liberate the mRNA from a stalled ribosome.
Source: RNAcentral